CACUGCUUAAAUAAUAAUGUAAUUAAUUUAUUUAUUACUUAUAAUUAAUUAGCUAAUUAAUUAUUAAUAACUUAAUAGUUUUCUGCAUAAACUAAUAUUUAUAUUUCUAAUUAAUUUUUUACUAGCUAUCUAACUAAAAUAAUUUACUAACUAAUUAAAAAGUUAAAUUAUUUUUAUAUUUAAUUAAUUAAUUAAUAUAUUUUUAUUAUCUUAUAUAAUAUUCAUAGCUAAUAAAUUUAUUAAUUUAUUAAAUUAUUUUAAUUAAUAUUUUGAUGUUAAUUAAUUAGAUAAAAUUUUUUAAUUUAAAAUUUUAACUCUUAUUCCUUAUAUUUCAAUAUAACCAUCCAAACACUAUUUACUUUAUUAUCUAUACCUGAAAUUUUAUCUAUUUCUGAAAUAAACAGUUCUUACUUAUAUCCGACCCAAACGCAGCCUUAAUAGAUCUACAGCUGUCAUAUCAUUUUACGUAGUAUCAGAGCAGUAGGUACAGAGUUCAAAUCACGCUAGGCUUUUAGUAUAAUUAAUUUUCUCACAUUUAAUUCAAAUUCAUUAUAGUUAUAUCAAGAAGUCUUAAACCCAAACAUAUAUAAAAGAGAAUGUUAAAUAUAAAAAUAUAAAAAUAUUAUUUUUUACAAAUUUAAAUUUUUAGAAUAUAGCGAUUGUUUCACAGUUUUAGAUCAGCUCUAACGGCUUAAAAUCUUUUCAUAGCACUUCU
RNAcentral lists this long non-coding RNA (715 nucleotides) under Ananas comosus (pineapple). Its description in RNAcentral is "long non-coding RNA (ACOM_LNC019570)". The record is from RNAcentral. Lineage: Eukaryota; Viridiplantae; Streptophyta; Magnoliopsida; Poales; Bromeliaceae.